GUGGUCCUGUCCAUGGCAUGGAGCGUGGUGAUGGAGGUACUCAUGUCCCCAAGCUCCGUGGUGGCACCUGGUCCCUGCGUCCCCUCCAUGAAGACACCUUCAUCGGUGGCCACCGUGUCCAUGUCCCCUCCGUAGACCACGGUGACAUGUCCCACCGUGGUCCCAUCCGUGGUCACGGGGGUCCCCGUGUCCCCGGGCACCGUGGUGGCACCAGGAUCCUUCAUCUUCUCCACGAAGGUGUCUCCAGCAUUGGCCACCAUGUCCAAGUCCUCUCCAUAGACCGUGGUGACGAGGAUCCCUGUGUCCUCUGGCACCGUGGUGGCACAAGGAACCCCCGUCCCCUCCAUGAAGACUCCUCCAUCACCGGCCACUGCGUCCCUGGACUUGUCCCC
Long non-coding RNA from Struthio camelus australis, 392 nucleotides. NCBI's taxonomy places the organism in Eukaryota, Metazoa, Chordata, Aves, Struthioniformes, Struthionidae. The record is from Ensembl.